Bombina bombina (fire-bellied toad) is the source of this 473-nucleotide long non-coding RNA. RefSeq lists it as uncharacterized. The transcript is spliced from 2 exons. The record is from RefSeq and is a predicted model, not a curated record. Lineage: Eukaryota; Metazoa; Chordata; Amphibia; Anura; Bombinatoridae.
UCCUUGUUUUUGUGCACAUAGCCCCUGUGCAUUUAUUCACAGCCCAGGUGGCUUUCUCACCUGAUCACUGGGCUGUGAUACCUGUAAGAGUGAGCACAUAUCUCUGCUACAGACUCCAAUCCAGACUCCUGAGCAUACCUGUUGAAUGUUUGAUAAAUUGGGAAGAGGGUUAAAUAGAGUCGAAUGUGAAUUUGAAACAUCUGGAAUGAUGCAAGCUUCGAUCUGCGUCAAAUUGAUCUCACGGGAGCAUUUAUUAUAUCACAAAUUUUAAAAAUGAACUAUGGCGGAUCAAAUUUGCAUCUAAUGUGACGCGAGAUUCCAGUGGAUUAAGGCGUAUUAUCAGUUAAAGGUUUGAUAAAUCGGCCCCCAUGUGUGCUGAUAUAUUGUGUAUUUUUUUCCAUGUACUAAGAAUAUAGUGCCACGUAUGAAAUAUUUUAAAGUGUAUUUCAAGCAUUGAAGAUAAGAUUUGAGUA